UACGUAGGGUGCAAGCGUUGUCCGGAAUUAUUGGGCGUAAAGAGCUCGUAGGCGGUCUGUCACGUCGGCUGUGAAAACUCGGGGCUCAACCCCGAGCCUGCAGUCGAUACGGGCAGACUAGAGUCCGGAAGAGGAGAGUGGAAUUCCUGGUGUAGCGGUGAAAUGCGCAGAUAUCAGGAAGAACACCCGUGGCUAAGGCGGCUCUCUAGUACGGUACUGACGCUGAGACGCGAAAGCGUGGGGAGCGAACAGG
RNAcentral lists this ribosomal RNA (253 nucleotides) under uncultured bacterium. Its description in RNAcentral is "partial 16S ribosomal RNA". It matches the Rfam family "Bacterial small subunit ribosomal RNA", at positions 524 to 776 of the family's 1533-position model. The record is from RNAcentral.